Molecule: long non-coding RNA, 851 nt
Organism: Felis catus (domestic cat)
Lineage: Eukaryota; Metazoa; Chordata; Mammalia; Carnivora; Felidae
Exons: 4
Source: RefSeq, a predicted model, not a curated record
UCGGCUUUCUCCUCCGAGUCUAUCAGCGACGCCCAGCAAGUCUGUGUGCCCCGCCGGGGUCUCAGACCUCAUCACCCGGGGGCGUCUGAACACGAGAUCCCCUUUCUUGGAGGCUGGUUAUGCUCAGGGCACAGGGUGACAUACGGCAGUAUUGUGCUGGAAGAACCCAGCGUAUGUAGAGAGAAGUACAUCAAGAAUGGGCCGAAGCAAAAACCCUCACAGGGGAGGGAUCUUUGCCUUUACCGAGCACAUUCGCGUGACCACGUUGACGACUAGGAGCCUUGCGUGCUCCCCCGGCUACACAGACUGUUUCGUAAAAACUGUCCCAUUUGCUUUCUUGAAAUAAUGGGAUCCCCGAAUAAAUGAAAUGUGAUUAAUACACGCAUAGAUCUUAGAGCCGUGCUGUGUUCAGCACAUGGUUACCGCUGAGGGUUAACUAUUAUUUCUGUAUUAUUAUAAGAUGGGUCCCUUCUCUUUCGAGUACGGAAACGAAAAUCCGUUGCUCUGUCUCUCUCCUGUCGGCGCUGCGUCUCACCAAGCUGCCUCCUCCCGUCACAAAACCGAGCUGUAAAACACGCGUGUUAGCAGCUGCAAUGGCUUCUGUGUGUGAGCCUACAGAGCAAAGUUGUCUGCACCUACCCCAGCUGAAGCAAGCUUUCAAGAAGACUGUUAUUCCAGCGUUAUUCUUUAUAGUUUUAUAUAAAAACCAUUUUACGGCAGCUAUUAAAACAAUCUGUGUAAACAUAAUUUUUAUGGCUGAAUGAUACUCCAACAUAUGGCUACACCAUCAUUUACUUAACUGUGACUCCAUUGUUGGGUGUCUAGAAUGUUUCUUGUUUUUCAUUAUUAUG